Molecule: ribosomal RNA, 253 nt
Filed under: uncultured bacterium
Lineage: Bacteria
Description: partial 16S ribosomal RNA
Rfam family: Bacterial small subunit ribosomal RNA
Source: RNAcentral
UACGUAGGUGGCGAGCGUUGUCCGGAAUUACUGGGUGUAAAGGGAGCGCAGGCGGGAGAUCAAGUUGGAUGUGAAAUACCGCAGCUCAACUGCGGGGCUGCAUCCAAAACUGAUUUUCUUGAGUGGAGUAGAGGUAGGCGGAAUUCCUAGUGUAGCGGUGAAAUGCGUAGAUAUUAGGAGGAACACCAGUGGCGAAGGCGGCCUACUGGGCUUUAACUGACGCUGAGGCUCGAAAGCGUGGGGAGCAAACAGG